Molecule: ribosomal RNA, 459 nt
Filed under: uncultured bacterium
Lineage: Bacteria
Description: partial 16S ribosomal RNA
Rfam family: Bacterial small subunit ribosomal RNA
Source: RNAcentral
CCUACGGGAGGCAGCAGUGAGGAAUAUUGGUCAAUGGUCGGGAGACUGAACCAGCCAAGCCGCGUGAGGGAUGAAGGUACAGAGUAUCGUAAACCUCUUUUAUCAGGGAACAAAGGCGGGGACGUGUCCCCGGAUGAGUGUACCUGAAGAAAAAGCAUCGGCUAACUCCGUGCCAGCAGCCGCGGUAAUACGGAGGAUGCGAGCGUUAUCCGGAUUUAUUGGGUUUAAAGGGUGCGCAGGGGGUCAAUUAAGUCAGUGGUAAAAGCCCGGGGCUCAACCCCGGGCUGCCGUUGAAACUGGCAGUCUUGAGUUGGAGAGAAGUAUGCGGAAUGCGCGGUGUAGCGGUGAAAUGCAUAGAUAUCGCGCAGAACUCCGAUUGCGAAGGCAGCAUGCCGGCUCCACACUGACGCUGAGGCACGAAAGCGUGGGUAUCGAACAGGAUUAGAUACCCGUGUAGUC